Osmia bicornis bicornis is the source of this 3056-nucleotide long non-coding RNA. RefSeq lists it as uncharacterized. The transcript is spliced from 4 exons. The record is from RefSeq and is a predicted model, not a curated record. NCBI's taxonomy places the organism in Eukaryota, Metazoa, Arthropoda, Insecta, Hymenoptera, Megachilidae.
AUGAAUGCUUUGGUAAUCUGCGUUGAAUGCAAAUGUUUCAACGCUCUCCUUUAGGCAUUGUCUAACUGAACUUACCCAAUAAUGCGACAGAAUGUUAACUCUGUAAGUGCGCUCGAUUUCAUCGUCUGGUAAGUCCCAAAGCGUUUUUCCAUGUACAUAGCCCGCGUUGUUUAUCAACAGGGUAACCUGAAUAAAAUAUUAUCGAGUAACAUGAAAUUGUAAUUUGUUCCUUAGAAAGAAGACUAUAAUCCUACAGGGCCAACUUCGAUCUGCACCGUCUUCGCUAUCCUGUACACUUCUUCCCUCUUGACCUGCGGAUUGUGUUCAUAGAAGCGCUUGCAGUUAAUUUAUUUAUGGCAUUAAGCUCUAUUGGGAUUUACCAGUUCUAUUGAUAUCCCAGAUGACAACGUGUGCUCCAAGUUUGGCCAGCUUGAUGGCCAUCAGCUUUCCAAUUCCUCCAGCGCCUCCUGUUAUCAGAGCCACCUCUCCUUUGAUAGAUUUUGCACGAUAACGUCGUGGAAUGAAGGAAGUGGUUUUAUUUAAAAUAACGCGCUACUUGGAUGCUUUGCUUAUUAAAAGUCAUUACCUCUUUGAAGAUGAAGUUUUCUGAGGAUGUUUAACACUAGCGAAAAUGACUUCAGUUUGAAAAGCGGUUCCCGUCUCUCUGUGCUUGAGUGUCAGUGGAUCGACUGGUGUCUACGGGUGUACCUCCUCCUGGUGCGCCCGAAUUGUAAGACCCGCUGUGUUUUGAUGCGUAAUUUGAAACAUUGCUCAGGCACGUACCUAAAAGUCCUCUUGAAAGUUCCUCUGUGAAACUUGAAACGCCAUUCUCGUUGAUACGGUUCCUUGAUUUUGCACUGGAGCACGAUAUAAAUUUCUGUAGAAGCCUUUCACAAGAAAACGGCAAGAUUAGAAAGGUACAUAAGAAAUUUAGAAGAGCGUAGAAUGUAGAAGCAGUCUACCUAGAAUAAGGCAAUAGCACCACAAGAACCUAGUCUUUGUACACCGCUGGAUUUACUAUAGUUCCGUAUCCUACAAGAUGCACAGAACACGUGCUGCAGAUUCCUACUACCAUAUACAUAGAAGAUCUGUACCGAAUCUUAUGGUGAAAGUUUCCGUUACCUCUCUCUUCUUGCCCUACUGAUGUUGUCUUAUGAUUUUACGGUGCAAUGAAAUAUCAGCCCUAGGAUUGAACCGUAUACAAAGCAUGAAAUACAGGAAGAAUAGUUUCAUCUAUGUGGAGAGUUGAUCAACCGAGGUAUUUCCUUCUAUGAUUUUCAGAUUGAAUUCAUAUUUGUAGACACAUUCCUUUAGAGAAGGAAUAGAAGAUUCGUCGACGGUUCAUAUUCCGUAAUUUUCUAAAUUUUCCAUAAUAUAGAAAUUCAUUACUAUGAGUAUCCACUCUGUGGUGGUCAUCGUAACAUCGAGUAACAGGAUAAUGUAUUGCAGGAAAUUACGCGAGGUCAUUGAUUUGCGAUCCAUCAGUCCUUGUUAUUUUUCUUCUAAUAGAAAGUUACGAGAUCCAAGUGAAUCCUCGAAUUACGUGCGAGCAAUACAAAUGGUGUAUUAUACUCCUUCGGCUUACACAAUUCUGAUGGAAAUUCGCUUCGAUCCUUGAUACGUCCAUGUUCGAAGGAGCAUUGGAAAUAUAGAGAAUGACAAUGUAGCGUGCCUUCAUUUGAGAGAAUCAUUCGCACAAUUUGUACAAACGGUUCUCAUAGUGCAAACAAUGAAAGAUAGCAGGAUUCAUCCUAUGGCUGGUGAAAGGAUGACGUUCAAGAUCUAGGCCACUAAUACUCCUUUUCUACAAACAACGAGGAAGAUAUGAAUUGUACAGAUCAAGAAGGGAGAAUGACUUGUCAGUUUUAGAUUCUGUUUCUUAAAAUUGUUAAGUCAGAAGUUUGUUGAAGUUACACAUUUUCAAAGCAGUUCCUAUUGUCAUCAGCUUUGUGCUGUUAACAUUCCUUCGGCUGAAAAGAUAUUUCGGCUGAAAGACCUUCGUCUUUGUCGAUCGUGACGAGGAAUGAAUCAUUUUUUGGUACUGAAAGACAGACAGAUUACAAUGACAAAGUCACGCGUUUGUUCAUUGUCAAUGCAAUACGUUACUUCUCGUAAUGAGCCAUGCUUGAAUUAAUGAAUAAAUGUAAGGUAAACGACGUCGUAAACAAUAGUAAACUUUAUUGUGUGUCCUUUCAAGUCAGUGGGACGAAUAAAGUUUUUUUAUCGUUUACGGUGUUCAAGGAUCCGCGUCCAUAUUGCAGUGGACGUACAAAUAAAUUUUGCAAAGAUAAUUGCAGUUCUUUACAAAAUUAAAUAAAAAGAAUAAUUUAAAAGCGUUAAGUUCAUCGCUUUAAGAACUAAUAAAAACGUCGAGUUAUUUUCUGCUCGAAAUAAAUAUUAAAAACUGCGUCAUAGUAUUUUGAUAAAAAUUAUAUGUUUAUAAUGAUAAGAAACGAAAACACUUUGAUAACAUGUUUACUGAAUUCAAAUUUUAAUUUCAAACUUCGAAUCGAUUCGAUAUCCUGUAAAGAGUUGCCAUCUGUCGAAGAAACAUUGGUAAUGCAGACAUACCGACGCGGACAUUUAAUCCCUCUUGAAAGCCAGGCGGUAAUUAACGUAAAAUUGUUGCUUUUAAAUUUGAAAUCUUAUUCUUAACAGCGAUGAGAUCAUUUGUGGAUGAGUUUUUUUACGUUCAAAACGAAGAGUUGUUUUAAAUCAGGAAUACAUUCAAAUUCAAAACAGGAAAAAUCGUAAAAAAAUCAUUGAACAUGUUAUUGAAAUGACGAACGGUAAAUUUAUUAAGGUCGAAGAUAUCAGAGAUUGAACGAUAGACGCUGAAAUUGAACACGUUCAUAGAAUAUGUAGAAAUCUUUGAAGGCAAAAGAGUGCUCCCUUAGAGUGUUAAUAUUUGUACGUUUUUGUGUUUGCACAUUUAGUAAUCGUCUAGUGGAGCAAAAAGCCAUUUCGAUGACGCUCAUCCAGGUCCAUUCCACUCAGGUUUACCCAAUGCGAAUUUCAGUGAAAGUACAUACUGACAAUAAUUUCGUAAUUUUUAU